Molecule: ribosomal RNA, 727 nt
Filed under: uncultured eukaryote
Lineage: Eukaryota
Description: SSU rRNA
Rfam family: Eukaryotic small subunit ribosomal RNA
Source: RNAcentral
GGUGCGUACUCAGCUCCUAGGCUUUUUGCUGGUUUUCCCGUCGUAGCCUUCACUGGUUGCGGCGGGUGGCUGGCGAGUUUACUUUGAGAAAAUCAGAGUGCUCAAUACAGGCGUAUCGCUUGAAUGAUUGUGCAUGGAAUAAUAGAAAAGGAUUUCGGUCCUCUUUUAUUGGUUUUGUGGACUGAGAUAAUGGUUAACAGGGACAAACGGGGGCAUUCGUAUCGCUGCGUGAGAGGUGAAAUUCUUGGACCGUAGCGAGACGCCCUACUGCGAAAGCAUUUGCCAAGAAUGUCUUCAUUAAUCAAGAACGAAAGUCAGAGGUUCGAAGGCGAUCAGAUACCGCCCUAGUUCUGACCGUAAACGAUGCCAACUAGCGAUCCGCCGGUGGAUUUUUAGCCCUGGUGGGUAGCUUCCCGGAAACGAAAGUCUUCCGGUUCCGGGGGAAGUAUGGUUGCAAAGCUGAAACUUAAAGGAAUUGACGGAAGGGCACCACCAGGAGUGGAGCCUGCGGCUUAAUUUGACUCAACACGGGGAAACUCACCCGGCCCGGACACCGUAAGGAUUGACAGAUUGAUAGCUCUUUCAUGAUUCGGUGGUUGGUGGUGCAUGGCCGUUCUUAGUUCGUGGAUCGAUUUGUCUGGUUUAUUCCGAUAACGAGCGAGACUCUAGCCUACUAAAUAGUAACGAGAUUAUCAAUGUCUCAGUUGCUUCUUAGAGGGAUUUUCGG